GCCCAGAUGGUGAAAUUGGCAGACACGCAUGAUUCAGGUUCAUGUGCCGCGAGGCUUGGGGGUUCAAGUCCCCCUCUGGGCACCA
RNAcentral lists this transfer RNA (85 nucleotides) under Puniceicoccales bacterium. RNAcentral describes it as "tRNA-Leu". It matches the Rfam family "tRNA". From Rfam's summary of the family: Transfer RNA (tRNA) molecules are approximately 80 nucleotides in length. Lineage: Bacteria; Pseudomonadati; Verrucomicrobiota; Opitutia; Puniceicoccales. The record is from RNAcentral.